GGUACGCGGCGUACACAUGCAGUCGAGCGGUAACAGGGGGUGCUUGCACCCCGCUGACGAGCGGCGGACGGGUGAGUAAUGCAUAGGAAACUGCCCAGUAGUGGGGGAUAGCCCGGGGAAACCCGGAUUAAUACCGCGUACGCCCUUCGGGGGAAAGCAGGGGAUCUUCGGACCUUGCGCUAUUGGAUGUGCCUAUGUCGGAUUAGCUAGUUGGUGGGGUAAAGGCCUACCAAGGCGACGAUCCGUAGCUGGUCUGAGAGGAUGAUCAGCCACAUCGGGACUGAGACACGGCCCGAACUCCUACGGGAGGCAGCAGUGGGGAAUAUUGGACAAUGGGGGCAACCCUGAUCCAGCCAUGCCGCGUGUGUGAAGAAGGCUUUCGGGUUGUAAAGCACUUUCAGUGAGGAGGAAAACUCUGCGACUAAUACUCGUAGGGCUUGACGUUACUCACAGAAGAAGCACCGGCUAACUCCGUGCCAGCAGCCGCGGUAAUACGGAGGGUGCAAGCGUUAAUCGGAAUUACUGGGCGUAAAGCGCGCGUAGGUGGUUUGAUAAGCGAGAUGUGAAAGCCCCGGGCUUAACCUGGGAACGGCAUUUCGAACUGUCAG
Molecule: ribosomal RNA, 608 nt
Filed under: Marinobacter flavimaris
Lineage: Bacteria; Pseudomonadati; Pseudomonadota; Gammaproteobacteria; Pseudomonadales; Marinobacteraceae
Description: bacterial SSU rRNA
Rfam family: Bacterial small subunit ribosomal RNA
Source: RNAcentral